CACACUACACAACUGAUCAGACAUCGAAAUAUAUAUAGUAUGUAUUUUUUCUCUCUUGUUUCUUUCCAAGUUUGUCUUCAGCACAGAGCCUGUGAUACGAUCUGAAAGUCAAGCACCUGGAUAGGUUGCUUCUCCAGGCAAGCUGCACAAAUUGUUUCCCGUUCAACAUAAUUGAAAUAAGUAAUACGAAAAACAAUUUGCACGGUUCAUCCGGAAUACCAAAUGUCAGUUGAACUUUUACAGCUCUACUAGAUACAAAGAUACUGAAACCUUGCAAGGACCACGUGGUGUGUUUUCUCGAAUCUUAGCAAUGGGUGUUAAAAGGGCAGCAGGACGAGCAAAACGCAAAGGCAUCUCUUGGAGAAAGAUAAACGAAUUCAAGGACUCUGAUUGAUUUUAAGGACAUUCUGGCAAUUUUUUCUAGGAUUAGACUCGAUUUACGCCAAAUAAAAC
Molecule: small RNA, 453 nt
Filed under: Drosophila virilis
Lineage: Eukaryota; Metazoa; Arthropoda; Insecta; Diptera; Drosophilidae
Description: GJ27118
Source: RNAcentral